GGAAACUGAAGGUCACUUUCAGCAUACUUUACCAUGCCUCCCAGGCAUUGCUGAUAAGAAAAAGACAGAAGGACAAAGACAAAAUUAACUUUUAAUUUCCCAUCCAAGCUACAACUAACAGAAACAGAGAGACGGAGACAGAAGUGCCAAAGCCUUCAUAAUUUAAGCCCGGAUAAAAAAUCACCUUGGAGUCACAGAAAUCAGCCUGAUUUGGAUAUGGCACCUUGAAAUUACUUGGGGACCUCCGUUAGAAGGAUAUAUCACCUUGGCUAAAUCACUGAGUAUUGCUCCUCCUGAGAAAUGUGGGCAUAAGAUAAAUCUAAAAGAGUCCAGUCAAGAUCAGUUACUCCUCCUUGGGAUGGACAAGAGCUUGGAAAAGGAUGUGAUUCUAUCAGUAAUUCGCCUAGGAAAAAUUCCUAUCUUUUCUCUGACCUGUCCUGUAAAGAAAUUGCAAUGUCAUCACAAAAGGGAAUGAAAUUGCAGUCCAUUCUUAACUAUCAAAAUAUUUCCAAGAAAAUAUAAUUUUUGAAGAAAAAGAGUAAAACUCAUUCCCAUGAAAGCAAUCUUUUUAUCUCCAUGCUUCAACCCAGCACAGUGUUGGGGGGUAGGGGGGAGAGUACUGAACUAGAAACUAAGAGUCAGGCAGGAUACCAGCAAUGUCCCAAAUGGCAUACUCAAGCAGAGUGAUUGAGGAGAGUUUAAAGAUGGAGCAGUUUACAAAAGGGUAGACAGGGUACAGUGAAACCAACAAAAGAUGGUGAAAUACCGAGGGGGCUAGUGUUGCCACCUCUAGGGCUGAAAGGGCAGAAGAAAGUGAGAUAACUGUAUAUAUAGAUGCAGAAGAAGGUGUGUGGGUCUGCUGGAAGCUGCAGACAUCAUCAUCACCCUUAUCAUCAUUAUUCCCAUUCAGAGAAUAAAUACCUCAACCUUACUUUCCCCCCAAA
This is a long non-coding RNA of Felis catus (domestic cat), 944 nucleotides long. RefSeq lists it as uncharacterized. Lineage: Eukaryota; Metazoa; Chordata; Mammalia; Carnivora; Felidae. The transcript is spliced from 3 exons. The record is from RefSeq and is a predicted model, not a curated record.